Long non-coding RNA from Marmota monax (woodchuck), 691 nucleotides. RefSeq lists it as uncharacterized. The record is from RefSeq and is a predicted model, not a curated record. Lineage: Eukaryota; Metazoa; Chordata; Mammalia; Rodentia; Sciuridae. The transcript is spliced from 2 exons.
GUCAGAAGCAGGAAGCACACGACUGAGGGAGCUGGUUACCAUAUGAUGACAGCCUGGCUUGAGUCCUACCUAAUUUUGGUAGCUCAGAGGCCUCCAAAGGGGAUGGAAACUAACCACAUGUGAUGCAGCUCUCGAGAGGAAUUCAGCUUUUCUGGGGACUAUCAAUGACCAUUGAGUAAAGACCUUACUUCAGGAAUUGGACGUUCAGCUACACCUUUUUACAGCAAGUCUCUUUUUAAAGAUCUGGUCUAGAUACUCACCAUGCUGCUCUGCUCUUGCAAACAAUCCCCACAGCUCCUCCCCUCAAAGCAUGCUUCCCAGAGAAGAAGAAGAACCAAGGAACCUAUUAUUUGCAGACUUAGAAGUGCCUGAAGAGGACAGGGAUUUUUUUUUGCUAAUACAAAAUGAAAAUGCUAAUGUGGAUAUUCAGUUUCAAAAGCUCUUUGUUUUGAGAAGUAUGGUCUAGUGAGAAGGUACUGCAGUGGGAAACUGUGAUAAAUGGCUCCAUCCUGUCCCUUACUUGUGGUGUCACCCUGAACCAGCCACAAUCUCCCGGGAUGCUACUGAUGUCAUUGGGACAAUGGGGUCAAUACUGUCUUGACCUGGAGGAAUGCCAACAGCUCUUUUCUGGCUCCUCAAGGGUUUCUGCAUUAUAACCUCACAAGGAAAAUAAACAUACUGAGGAAAAUCA